RNAcentral lists this ribosomal RNA (972 nucleotides) under Triticum aestivum (bread wheat). Its description in RNAcentral is "partial small subunit ribosomal RNA". The record is from RNAcentral. Lineage: Eukaryota; Viridiplantae; Streptophyta; Magnoliopsida; Poales; Poaceae.
UUUUGGGUCUGACCUAGGUAGUGCGGUCGUGCGUACAGCCGCGUGCCUUUGGGAUUUGCGGGUUUGGGGGCGAUAUAUAGGGGGGAGCAGAGGGGAGGAGUGAGGAGAUCGGCGGCGGCGGCGGCAGCGGGCGCUUCUUCGGGGACGGUGGCCUCUAGAGGGCUGGAGAGGGGAGCGGCGGGCGGGCCUCUAGAGGGCCGGAGAGGGAGGCGGUAGUACCCAUUCUGUGCACCAUACCCUCGGCCCGCGUUCGAGUUCUGGGUGGCGUCCUUGGUCUCCACCCGACUGUUCCGUAUGUUCUUCUCGGUGAACCCGUUACUCACCUUCUUUGGGAAGCGACCUAGCAGAGUGCGGUUCCCGUAACAAAACCUCUUCUAGCCAUAACUCCGGUUCGUCGGAUUGAGACGGUAGGCAUUCACACGAGCACAGGUCGACCACUUCUUGCCCUUCUUCUAGCGACGGAAACACGGGUUACUACCAACGGACUUGAAGUAGCUCCUUUUGCUGCUCCACGACUAACGACCUAAGCCAGCAUUCCCAGUACGACACCCUCUAUAAGGACCACAGUCCAAGUUCCAACAGUUCCAUAGACCACACAGCGACGAGCGAGAGAAGUUCCUCUUCUUUCUCUUCGGGUCUAGAAUCUAACGUCAAAACUAUCCGUUCCUACCUUACCUGACAUUCCGAGACCAGCAAACCCCUCCUUUCAACGGACGAUACAAAUGUUUCAGGAUAUAUUGGACUUCAACAUGAUCGCUCUAAACAAGGAAGAGACGACGACGAAAGAGAAUUGUCAACGAUAAUUCUCAUAACAAAGGUACUAGACCUAUAUAUAAUAACGAACAAUGGGACGACCGAUCAACCUACAAACAAAUCUUUGGAAGAGUAUUAAAACGUCAUCAUACCAUGACUUUUCUUUAGACAUGGUUAGCAGCACACCUAACCUUACCUAUAAACCUAAUCUAUCACCUC